AACGCAUAUUGCGGUCGAGGCUUCGGCUGAGACCAUGUCUGCCUCAGCGUCGGUGUGAACCCCUCAUCCCUCCCGGGAUGGACCUGAUCUUCCCAUUGCUUUAGUCCAUGGGUUGAUUGAAAUGAGGAGGCUACGGCUUGGACCUGUAUGGCAACAGCAAGGUAGGUAGCUCGUCUACUCCAGCUGGUGCUUUGGGUACUAGCCAGAGCCCGCAGGAAAUAUCACCAUUUUCGACCUGAGAUCAGGCAAGGCUACCCGCUGAACUUAA
RNAcentral lists this unclassified non-coding RNA (268 nucleotides) under uncultured fungus. RNAcentral describes it as "partial contains 5.8S ribosomal RNA, internal transcribed spacer 2, and large subunit ribosomal RNA". The record is from RNAcentral. Lineage: Eukaryota; Fungi.